ACCUGAGCGUCAGUCUUUGUCCAGGGGGCCGCCUUCGCCACCGGUAUUCCUCCAGAUCUCUACGCAUUUCACCGCUACACCUGGAAUUCUACCCCCCUCUACAAGACUCAAGCUUGCCAGUUUCAAAUGCAGUUCCCAGGUUGAGCCCGGGGAUUUCACAUCUGACUUAACAAACCGCCUGCGUGCGCUUUACGCCCAGUAAUUCCGAUUAACGCUUGCACCCUCCGUAUUACCGCGGCUGCUGGCACGGAGUUAGCCGGUGCUUCUUCUGCGAGUAACGUCAAUCGCUAAGGUUAUUAACCUUAACGCCUUCCUCCUCGCUGAAAGUACUUUACAACCCGAAGGCCUUCUUCAUACACGCGGCAUGGCUGCAUCAGGCUUGCGCCCAUUGUGCAAUAUUCCCCACUGCUGCCUCCCGUAGGAGUCUGGACCGUGUCUCAGUUCCAGUGUGGCUGGUCAUCCUCUCAGACCAGCUAGGGAUCGUCGCCUAGGUGAGCCAUUACCCCACCUACUAGCUAAUCCCAUCUGGGCACAUCUGAUGGCAUGAGGCCCGAAGGUCCCCCACUUUGGUCUUGCGACGUUAUGCGGUAUUAGCUACCGUUUCCAGUAGUUAUCCCCCUCCAUCAGGCAGUUUCCCAGACAUUACUCACCCGUCCGCCGCUCGUCACCCGAGAGCAAGCUCUCUGUGCUACCGCUCGACUUGCAUGUGUUA
This 712-nucleotide ribosomal RNA is filed under the name Klebsiella planticola. RNAcentral's name for it is "Raoultella planticola partial 16S rRNA". Lineage: Bacteria; Pseudomonadati; Pseudomonadota; Gammaproteobacteria; Enterobacterales; Enterobacteriaceae. The record is from RNAcentral.